RNAcentral lists this ribosomal RNA (292 nucleotides) under uncultured bacterium. RNAcentral's name for it is "partial 16S ribosomal RNA". The record is from RNAcentral.
GGACUACUAGGGUUUCUAAUCCCGUUUGCUCCCCACGCUUUCGCGCCUCAGCGUCAGGGCAGGCCCAGAGCCCCGCCUUCGCCACCGGUGUUCCUCCCGAUCUCUACACAUUUCACCGCUACACCGGGAAUUCCAGACUCCUCUGCCCCCCUCAAGACCCUCAGUUUCGGCCGACCCCCGCGGGUUGAGCCCGCGGAUUUCACGACCGACUUCUCGGCCCGCCUACGCGCCCUUUACGCCCAGUAAUUCCGAGCAACGCUUGCCCCCUCUGUCUUACCGCGGCGGCUGGCAC